GUACGGAGGCGGCAGAGUCGGUGUUUCUCUCCAGGUAACUUCUUCUCUCAUCACCUGGGUCGGUUGUUUUAUUACAGCCUCAAACGUCGGUGCUGUUCGUCCAUCAGUGGAGGACAACAGCAUGAACAACAGAGCCAGCUCUGCUGGACAGACAGACCUGCCCAGAUGGACACAUGAGAGGGAAUCUGAUGCAGGCCAGAGGUGAGAUGGCGGGGAACACACAGGUGUAACAGAAGAGGGGAACUGGAAGGACAGGCAGAACAUACCAGCUGUCUUCAUCUCGAACACAAGAAAUCUGUUGAGGUCUCAGUCUUUAUGACUUAGAGUCAGUUUCCGAUCAGCUUUAUCCAGGCUUUCUCAGCCUCCUCCGCCGGCCCGGCUGCAGAGAUCUGAAG
Long non-coding RNA from Sebastes umbrosus (honeycomb rockfish), 395 nucleotides. RefSeq lists it as uncharacterized. The record is from RefSeq and is a predicted model, not a curated record. The transcript is spliced from 3 exons. NCBI's taxonomy places the organism in Eukaryota, Metazoa, Chordata, Actinopteri, Perciformes, Sebastidae.